GACGAACGCUGGCGGCGUGCCUAACACAUGCAAGUCGAACGGAAAGGCCCUGCUUUUGUGGGGUGCUCGAGUGGCGAACGGGUGAGUAACACGUGAGUAACCUGCCCUUGACUUUGGGAUAACUUCAGGAAACUGGGGCUAAUACCGGAUAGGAGCUCCUGCUGCAGGGGGGGGGUUGGAAAGUUUCGGCGGUGGGGGAUGGACUCGCGGCUUAUCAGCUUGUUGGUGGGGUAGUGGCUUACCAAGGCUUUGACGGGUAGCCGGCCUGAGAGGGUGGCCGGCCACAUUGGGACUGAGAUACGGCCCAGACUCCUACGGGAGGCAGCAGUGGGGAAUAUUGCACAAUGGGCGGAAGCCUGAUGCAGCAACGCCGCGUGCGGGAUGACGGCCUUCGGGUUGUAAACCGCUUUCGCCUGUGACGAAGCGUGAGUGACGGUAAUGGGUAAAGAAGCACCGGCUAACUACGUG
This 468-nucleotide ribosomal RNA is filed under the name uncultured bacterium. RNAcentral describes it as "partial 16S ribosomal RNA". It matches the Rfam family "Bacterial small subunit ribosomal RNA", at positions 28 to 507 of the family's 1533-position model. The record is from RNAcentral.